UGGGCAACCUGCCCCUCUCUCUGGGAUAACCCCCGGGGAAACCGGAGCUAAUACCGGAUACUCCGGCUGGAUCGCAUGGUCCGGCCGGGAAAGGUCCGCCGGAGAGGGAUGGGCCCGCGGCCUAUCAGCUUGUUGGUGGGGUCAUGGCUCACCAAGGCGACGACGGGUAGCUGGUCUGAGAGGAUGGCCAGCCACAUUGGGACUGAGACACGGCCCAGACCUCCGUACGGGAGGCA
Molecule: ribosomal RNA, 236 nt
Filed under: uncultured bacterium
Lineage: Bacteria
Description: partial 16S ribosomal RNA
Rfam family: Bacterial small subunit ribosomal RNA
Source: RNAcentral